GGCGGGGCUUCCACGGAGGUCUGGUGUAGGCCUCUGUGAAUCCUGAACUCCAGUAGGGCCCAAGCCAGCCAGGAAGGAGGAGGCAGCCAGAGAGGCCUCCACUGUUCUCUGCAGCAGAAGACCCCCUGCUGCCAGACGUCUAUCACCGAAGAAUCCAUGGUUCUAAAAGUCAGAAUUGGGAACAAGAACCUGAAUCGAGACGAUUGCCACCAAAUGGUCUUGUGAGAUGAGGGACAAGAUUCCCAUCCUAUAUGUGGCCGGGCUGGCCGGGAGAGGGGAGAUUGCAUCUCCGCCCGCAGUAGACAGAGUGUGGGACAGAUCCAGAAUGGAGUAGAAAUCCAGAUGUAGUAUGUUGUCUAGAAUUUUGGUAGAUGGGACAAGAUGAAGGUGAAGGGGUGCCUAUUGAAGAAGCUGUUGAAGCCUCUCUUUCCCAUUUCAAAUAGACAACAGCCAUCCCCUCAGGUAAAAGCCCAGAGUCUCCACAGCAGGAGAGAUGGCCCUCGCUCCUGACUCUGGGGACCACCUUGUCUCUCACUUUAGAAACUGCUCCCUGGAGAUAGGAGAGAAGAGAACAUCUGGAUGAAGAUGACUUAUGGGGUUCAGCUCCUCUCAAGGCCAAACUACACAUUAGCAGGCAUGUGCCUUCCUUCUUGAACAAAUGGAAAUAGAUACCAGUGGAUACCAUUCCACUCUCUAUGCAAGGAAUGUAUUCCAUGCAUAGAAUACAUGACAAGGAAUAAUGACAAUAAAUGACAAGAAAUACGCUUUCAAUUGUGGACCUCCCAUGCACUGGCAUUUCUGUUAAUAACUUUUUUUUCUUUUAAUAAAGAAAUAUCAGGUGUCUAUUUUACAUGCUGUCUUUGGACCAGAGCUCCAGGAUGCAGCCAACAGAUGUCAAUGGCCAUUCUGAAGGAUGGUGGCCAUUUUAAAUUAUGGUGGCCAUUUUGUUGACCACAGUGUAUAAUAUCACAAUGGUUGAUUGUUGGACAUAUGAUAAAAUAAAAUGGCCACAAGCAUGUGGUGGCUGUGCCCUGACACUCCCACCAACAAGUUAGAACACAUUUGUGCCCUAGAAAGGUCAGAGUGAGUACAAGAGCAGGCAUUGCUCCCCUUUGUCUUAUUUACAGGGUUCUGACAUCCAGGAGGCUGAGAUACCACAGGUCAGCACUAGGGGUCAGGAGCUGGACAUGGAAAGCAUCAGCAAUUCCCCGGGGUACUCGUUUCUCGGCUGAGGGGCAGCAGAGAACCACCCUUAAGAGCCCAGGGGGUUAUGGGGCUAGAUGGUUUAGCAAGAAGCCUGUGGGUGGGUGAGGGGAGAGCAAGUCUCAAAGCUCUGAGCACCAUGGAGGGUUGUUUUUCUCCAUCUCCUUUCACAAUAAUGGAAGUGAAGAUCGCCUGAUAAAAGGCAGCAAGUAGAGGACAGAUGAGAGCAGACCCUCAUUAUGACAAGCUGUAACAAGAUAUAUGGAAUUCAUUGCAACAAGAUAUGCUGUUGGCCACUAGCUUCAAAUUUUUUUAGAAGUGAUCCUCUUGGAGAAGAUGCCCAUUAAAGGGUUUAUCCUGUUGCUUUAAUUACAAUAGAAAAACAAUUAUGUUUGUGCCAGCAAUAUCCAUCUUUUCAAUGGCAUGCGGCAAGUUGUAUCCUUCUAAAUGACAUUUUUAAUGGGUACCCAAGGUGCCUUCUGCAAGAUCUGCCAGUAAGUUACAGGCAACCUCCUUUACCUCACUCUCUUGUCAGAAAGGCAAACAUGACAUCAUCGCAACAGCUUGGGUGAAUGUGUUUAAAUGGCAUUGCCCAUUGUGAGUGCUUUUAAAACAUUCCUUGCUUUUAAAAUAUGCAACACACAUGCAACAACACCUUAUGUUUCCUGCUGCAAGAAUGUGAAACUCAUAUUUUUCUCCAUAAAGGAAGUUAUUUGCCACUGCAAUCAUUGUUUUUGAUAGAAUCCUAUCAUUUUAUUAUCUGUUUUGUUUGUUUGUUAAUUUGAUUUAUUUUAUUUGUAUGCCACCUGUCUCAGCACAGCUCAGGGAGGUUUUCAAGCAAAAGUUCAACCUGUUUAAAAUUCAACAUAAAACACAAAAUGAAAAGCAGCUCAUUAAAAAAAAAAAGAGAACAUAAAACUCAUUGCAAAAACUAUUUUAAACCAAACAAAUAUGGAUAAAAGCCAGGCUGAAAAGAGGGGUUAUAUGGCUCCCUUGAAGGCCUUCAAAGAUGAUAACUGAGCAAAAUAUAACAUACCCUGCUAAAUGAGCAAAGAGGGCCCAUGAUUUCAGGAUAUAUGAGAAUCAGGACUCUCUCCCCAGGAGGUCAGGAAUGAACAUCCAUUUUUUCAUGUGUAUGGGCUGUGGGUUGUGUGUGUCCCCAGUAGGAGACAGAAUGUAGAAUGGAUCCAGUUCUAGAUGCUACAGCAUGGGAGGGAUUUUUAUUGGUGGGAUGGGAGGAAAUGCAGGGCUCCAGUAUGCAUUGACAGUUGAGCAUCACUGAAAACAUGAUGAAAUACUCUUUUGGCCAGAUGUGCCAAAUGCCUUUUGUUCUAAGAGGCACUUCUUAGAGGGUCAUCCAUUAAUUCAUCCAUCCAAGGUGGUGAAUGCUCCUGUUUCUCUUCCCUCUGCUUCCCAGUUCUCCUCUUCAGACAAGGAUGACACAAUGUAUGAUAUCAGCAGCACCUUACGCCCAGAGAUGAACAUCAGCAAAGAUGAAGGAAGAGGACAGCUGGCCCCAGAUUGGUUCUUCUCAGUCCAUCUGGGAGAGGGGAGAACAACAAAGAAGAUCGAGCAGAUCAUCCAGUCUGCAGAGCAUCCCAGUGAGGUGAAGGAGAGGUUCCCUGAAUUCCUGGUCAGCCUGGUCAAUAAGAUCCUCACAAGCCUGCAGAGCAUCACUGAGGGAGCCGAGAACCAAGAGUCAAAACCUGUCUCCUGAGUAAGUCAUGGCAAUGGGGAACGCGGGGGCAAAAAGCCCAUCAUUCUGGGAGGGCAGGCUAGGGACACAUGUCCCAGGCCCCAGUCUGAUGUGUGAGGAGCAUUUCUGGCCUAUUGGAGUGACUCUGGCACAAUAGUCCCUUCCCUCAGCUUCACAGGAAAGACCCCAGAGUUUGCAGCCCAUUUGGCUUUGGAAAGAGUCUUAAAGUAUGUCUGCCAUGGUUUUUUAAAAAACAACAUGUUUUUAAAAACAUGUUUAAAACAUGUCUGUGGGGAAAGUCAUUCCAGUCAGAGGUGGGGCAAAGCGAAGAGAUUGUGCUAUAGGUUUGCCAACGUUUUCUCUAGCUCUACACCUGUGCCUUGAUUAGCAUCCUGUUAGGAAUAACUUAAGUAGUGAGAUAAAUUGAGGGGAAAUCUUUAGCUUUGGGUCAGCUUCAGGGUCAGCAUUGUGGAGAACCUGCUGAGGGCCAUCAGAAGACCCCACUGCUUGCCUCUGAGACCACCUCUGGAUCCAUAACAUUGCUGGGCCCAGGAGGAGGUCUGCUUAAAAGAUGGCAACCCUCAUGUAGCAACCCUUUGCCUGCCCCUCUGUCCUUCCCUACAGCCCCUCUUCUGCCCUUCAGGUCACCAUAUUCAUCCCUCUUAUCUUGCUCCAUCUGAUUCCUCCUAGCUUCUGCUCACCUGUGGGAACAUCAACAUAGCCCCAAGUAAUGUUCUUACUAUGAAUCUGGAAAACAAGUUUAUAUUAGUUCUUUUGAUUUCAAUCCUUAGUGACAUUUCUUUGAGAGUUUAGCCUCCUAUCACUCAAGUCAAGAUAUUCUAGGCCUUGCAGUAAAGAGUCUGAAUCCCACCCACCACCUCACUUCUCAUUUUACUGAGAUGAAGACUUCCUUUUAGGAGGAGGAAACUGGCACAUGAGGUGGGAAACAAUUCACCCCCAUGGUCUCUCUCCCAUGAUCCAACCUAGUCCUUCCCUUGCCCACUCCCUCUACAUUGUCCAGACCCUCUUAGAGAGGUGGCACAGGUGCCCCCAGAGAAGACCUGCUGGGAAACCUUGUGAUCCCCUCACAGCUGCACCCAGGUUGUGGCCCUCUUGGUGAGGUGAAGGCAAGUGCUGAGAUUUCUCAGGAAGACUGGGGGCUGUAGGGAAAUUCGGGUCAGGUCUGCUCUCUCCAGGCCUCCCACUCAGGACUCAGCAAGGGCCUCUGGUGUAUUGCAGGGCCCUCCUCCACACAACAUCGUCCACAGUGCCCAAGCUGAAAGAAUAUCUGGCUUCCAUCUUCAUCCUGGAGGAAGAUCCAGAGAAGCAUUCCCUUGCAGAGGAGGCCUUCGCUGUUGAGGUCAGAAGCAUGUUUGCCAGUGUAGGCUUCACUGAGAAGAGGGUCUGGUCCAGGGGCUUAUGGGUGUUGUGCUCCUUUAACCUAUUUUAGCUGCUCAUGAAAUACCAACAUGUCACUUCCUUGGAGAAGAUCUGGACACUCCUUGUAGCCUGGCUAGUCCUCCCCAGCCAGACCAUCUUUCACCUCUGUAGGAGGCAGCUAAGAUCCGAGGGGCAGCCAUGAGGAAACAUCUGGAUCUCCUGCAGCACUGCCACCAUCACAGGGGUACAAACCAGAACAUCACAAUCCUCAUUGCAGUGCUGAUGUGCGUGGAGGACAAAGAUCUGGAGGUAGCACAAGUGAGGCCCCACCUGUCCCUGCCUCCCCGUUUAGGCUUCCCCAAAUCUAGGCCCGAGAGUUAGCCUCAUGGGGUGGUGAAUCAACUUGCAGCCCAGCUGUGGCCUUUCAGAGAAUGGAACUUUCUGCCCCCUUGCACUUUCCCUUCCAAGAGUUCAUCCAUGGCCCUUCUUUCCUGGGAUGAGGCAAAGCUUCCGCUCUCCUGCUUCCCCUCUUAAAUCUGGCUCCCCCAAAGUCCUUCCCUCAGCUGUGCUUCAACCAAUAGAAGACCAUUGAAAUCUAAAAUCUUCCCUACCGUUUGGAGCAACCUAAAAUGUUGCUUUGAAUCCCCGAGUCCAGCGGCCACAGUAAGUGCUGAGAGGGAGGCCUUUCUCACCCCCUUUCUGUCCUCUUCUUUUAAAAAGCCAGCCAAGGACAAUCUGCACCUGCUGGCGGAAGCCUUCCAGUGGCACCUGAAAGGUAGCCUGCUGGUGCGGGAGACUUAUAGUCUGCAGGAGCUGCUCCAUAAGAUCUUCAAGCGUGUGAUUUGGCAGCUCAGCUCCGGAAAUGCAGUGAGAUGGAGACCUACAACACCCUGGGGUUCUUCCACAGUGAGCAGGCUUCAGUGAGAAGAAUGACUGCCAUGCUCAUCAAAAGGCAGUAUCCACACUGAAGGGAAUGUGGACACCUACCAUGCUGGACUGGAGAACUUGGUUGUGAUCAGGACCCCGAAGUUAGGCAAGUUGCCUUCAAGACAGAGAAGAUCUUGUGGAAGGCCUUUCCCCUCCACUCUUGGCAUGGGCUGCCGUUUGGUGCUUCUGGGUGGGCUGUAAGAGGAAAAGAUACCUGCCAGAGUAGGAUGAUCUCACCUGACCAACUGAAUGGAUGGGCAUACAAUUAUGAAAUCUGGCAUACAUGAAGUCCACACCGAAAGGACUCAGUGUAGCUAAUUUGAAACACACAGCCACUUUUUCAUACUGUAUUUACAAACACUCAUCUGGAUCAGCAUCUCCAUUCGGUCAAGAAGUACAAUCUGGAAGUGUGAGAAAAAUCACCCCCAAUGGUGAGCAUGACAAGGGGGCUUAAAAGCACUGAAAGGAAGGUGAAGCUCUGCUACAUAUAAGUCGGAUCUUUCCUAAACUAUGGCAGUCUAGGAACAUAGGAAGCUGCCUUUUACUGAGUCAGACCCUUGAUCCAUCUUGCUCUGUAUUGUCUACACUCUACACUGACUGGCAGUGGCUUCUCCAAGGUGGCAGGCAGGAGUUUUCCCCAGCCCUCCUUGGACAUGCAGCCAGGGAUUGAACCUGUGGCCCUUUUCAUGCAAAUGCUCUUCCACUGAGCUAUCGCCCCAUCCUCUAAGGGAAAUAUCUUAUGCUCAGAUGUAGUCACCCAUCCAAAUGCAAACCAAGACAGAGCCUGCUUAACAACAGGGACAAUUCAUGCUUGCUACCACAGGACCUUAAGUGGCACAGCGGGGAAAUGCUUGAUUAACAAGCAGAAGGUUGUUGGUUCGAAUCCCCGCUGGUAUGUUUGCUCGACUAUGGGAAACACCUAUAUCGGGCAGCAGCGAUAUAGGAAGAUGUUGAAAGGCAUCAUCUCAUACUGCGUGGGAGGAGGCAAUGGCAAACCCCUCCUGUAUUCUACCAAAGAAAACCACAGGGCUCUGUGGGUGCCAGGAGUCGAAAAUUACUUCAUAGCACACUUUACCUUACCACAGGACCAGCUGUCCUUCCCCAAUAAGACUUUUCUACUGCAUAUUUUAACAUUGUAGAAAGAGGAGCUAACUGUUCCAUCUUAUUUAUUUGUUAUUUCUCUGUGUAAACCACCCUGAGCCAUUUUUGGAAGGGCGGUAUAGAAAUAGAAUAAAUAAAUAAAUAAAUAAAUUACAAUUGUACAAAGAGAG
Molecule: long non-coding RNA, 6477 nt
Organism: Hemicordylus capensis (graceful crag lizard)
Lineage: Eukaryota; Metazoa; Chordata; Lepidosauria; Squamata; Cordylidae
Exons: 8
Source: RefSeq, a predicted model, not a curated record